UACGUAGGGUGCAGGCGUUAAUCGGAAUUACUGGGCGUAAAGGGCUCGUAGGCGGCCAACUAAGUCGGACGUGAAAUCCCCAGGCUCAACCUGGGAACUGCGUCCGAUACUGGAUGGCUUGAAUUCGGGAGAGGGAUGCAGAAUUCCAGGUGUAGCGGUGAAAUGCGUAGAUAUCUGGAGGAAUACCGGUGGCGAAGGCGGCAUCCUGGACCGAUAUUGACGCUGAGGAGCGAAAGCUAGGGGAGCAAACGGG
RNAcentral lists this ribosomal RNA (253 nucleotides) under uncultured bacterium. RNAcentral describes it as "partial 16S ribosomal RNA". It matches the Rfam family "Bacterial small subunit ribosomal RNA", at positions 524 to 776 of the family's 1533-position model. The record is from RNAcentral.